This 406-nucleotide ribosomal RNA is filed under the name uncultured bacterium. Its description in RNAcentral is "partial 16S ribosomal RNA". It matches the Rfam family "Bacterial small subunit ribosomal RNA", at positions 30 to 526 of the family's 1533-position model. The record is from RNAcentral.
AUUGAACGCUGGCGGCAGGCCUAACACAUGCAAGUCGAACGAGUGGCGGACGGGUGAGUAAUGUCUGGGAAACUGCCUGAUGGAGGGGGAUAACUACUGGAAACGGUAGCUAAUACCGCAUACCAUCGGAUGACGCCAUAUGGGAUUAGCUAGUGUGUGGUGUAACGGCUCACCUAGGCGACGAUCCCUAGCUGGUCUGAGGGGAUGCCCAGCCACUCGGGAACUAAGACACGGUCCAGAUUCCUAAGGGAGGCAGCAGUGGGGAAUAUUGCACAAUGAGCGCAAGCCUGAUGCAGCCAUGCCGCGUGUAUGAAGAAGGCCUUCGGGUUGUGAAGUACUUUCAGCGGGGAGGCGUUACCCGCAGAAGAAGCACCGGCUAACUCCGUGCCAGCCGACGCGGUAAUAC